GAUUUAGCUUCUCUUGCAAGAAUAAGUGGGGAACCCGAAUAACACCAAUAGUGCAAUUGCCUGAUAAAUCAUUUACUUUGGACCUUGCUCAAUCAUUAGCUUGGAAGAGAUCAGGUCUUCUGGUGAAACCAACUCUCCAAUGCAGUUUGAGUCCCACUUUUGGUGGAAGCAAUCCUGGGUUUCGUGCUGAAAUUGUUCAUUCAGUGAAGAAACAUCUCAAUCUCAUGUGCGGCUGUUCUUUCAUUGCCCACCCUUCUGCAUUUGCUUCAAUUUCUAUUGGCAGGUCGAAGUGGAACGGAA
This 300-nucleotide unclassified non-coding RNA is filed under the name Hevea brasiliensis (rubber tree). The record is from RNAcentral. Lineage: Eukaryota; Viridiplantae; Streptophyta; Magnoliopsida; Malpighiales; Euphorbiaceae.